This 254-nucleotide ribosomal RNA is filed under the name uncultured bacterium. RNAcentral's name for it is "partial 16S ribosomal RNA". It matches the Rfam family "Bacterial small subunit ribosomal RNA", at positions 79 to 334 of the family's 1533-position model. The record is from RNAcentral.
CUUUCUUUGCUGGCGACCGGCGCACGGGUGAGUAACACGUAUCCAACCUGCCCUUUACUCGGGGAUAGCCUUUCGAAAGAAAGAUUAAUACCCGAUAGUAUAAUGAUUCCGCAUGGUUUCAUUAUUAAAGGAUUCCGGUAAAGGAUGGGGAUGCGUUCCAUUAGGUUGUUGGUGAGGUAACGGCUCACCAAGCCCUCGAUGGAUAGGGGUUCUGAGAGGAAGGUCCCCCACAUUGGAACUGAGACACGGUCCAA